CUGCUGCCUCCCGUAGGAGUCUGGGCCGUGUCUCAGUCCCAGUCUGGAUGAUCAUCCUCUCAAACCAUCUAACGAUCGUCGACUUGGUGAGCCUUUACCUCACCAACUAUCUAAUCGUACGCAAGCCAUUCCUAAAGCGCAUAAAUGCUUUAAUCCAAAGAUCACAUGCGGUAUUAGCCACUCUUUCGAGUAGUUAUCCCUCACUUUAGGGUAUGUUCUCACGCGUUACUCAGCCGUCCGCCG
This 243-nucleotide ribosomal RNA is filed under the name uncultured bacterium. RNAcentral's name for it is "partial 16S ribosomal RNA". The record is from RNAcentral.